UUAAGUUAUUAAGGGCGCACGGUGGAUGCCUUGGCACUAGAAGCCGAUGAAGGACGUUACUAACGACGAUAUGCUUUGGGGAGCUGUAAGUAAGCUUUGAUCCAGAGAUUUCCGAAUGGGGAAACCCAGCAUGAGUUAUGUCAUGUUAUCGAUAUGUGAAUACAUAGCAUAUCAGAAGGCACACCCGGAGAACUGAAACAUCUUAGUACCCGGAGGAAGAGAAAGAAAAUUCGAUUCCCUUAGUAGCGGCGAGCGAAACGGGAAGAGCCCAAACCAACAAGCUUGCUUGUUGGGGUUGUAGGACACUCUGUACGGAGUUACAAAGGACGACAUUAGACGAAUCAUCUGGAAAGAUGAAUCAAAGAAGGUAAUAAUCCUGUAGUCGAAAAUGUUGUCUCUCUUGAGUGGAUCCUGAGUACGACGGAGCACGUGAAAUUCCGUCGGAAUCUGGGAGGACCAUCUCCUAAGGCUAAAUACUCUCUAGUGACCGAUAGUGAACCAGUACCGUGAGGGAAAGGUGAAAAGCACCCCGGAAGGGGAGUGAAAUAGAACCUGAAACCGUGUGCUUACAAGUAGUCAGAGCCCGUUAAUGGGUGAUGGCGUGCCUUUUGUAGAAUGAACCGGCGAGUUACGAUUUGAUGCAAGGUUAAGCAGUAAAUGUGGAGCCGUAGCGAAAGCGAGUCUGAAUAGGGCGUUUAGUAUUUGGUCGUAGACCCGAAACCAGGUGAUCUACCCUUGGUCAGGUUGAAGUUCAGGUAACACUGAAUGGAGGACCGAACCGACUUACGUUGAAAAGUGAGCGGAUGAACUGAGGGUAGCGGAGAAAUUCCAAUCGAACCUGGAGAUAGCUGGUUCUCUCCGAAAUAGCUUUAGGGCUAGCCUCAAGUGAUGAUUAUUGGAGGUAGAGCACUGUUUGGACGAGGGGCCCCUCUCGGGUUACCGAAUUCAGACAAACUCCGAAUGCCAAUUAAUUUAACUUGGGAGUCAGAACAUGGGUGAUAAGGUCCGUGUUCGAAAGGGAAACAGCCCAGACCACCAGCUAAGGUCCCAAAAUAUAUGUUAAGUGGAAAAGGAUGUGGCGUUGCCCAGACAACUAGGAUGUUGGCUUAGAAGCAGCCAUCAUUUAAAGAGUGCGUAAUAGCUCACUAGUCGAGUGACACUGCGCCGAAAAUGUACCGGGGCUAAACAUAUUACCGAAGCUGUGGAUUGUCCUUUGGACAAUGGUAGGAGAGCGUUCUAAGGGCGUUGAAGCAUGAUCAUAAGGACAUGUGGAGCGCUUAGAAGUGAGAAUGCCGGUGUGAGUAGCGAAAGACGGGUGAGAAUCCCGUCCACCGAUUGACUAAGGUUUCCAGAGGAAGGCUCGUCCGCUCUGGGUUAGUCGGGUCCUAAGCUGAGGCCGACAGGCGUAGGCGAUGGAUAACAGGUUGAUAUUCCUGUACCACCUAUAAUCGUUUUAAUCGAUGGGGGGACGCAGUAGGAUAGGCGAAGCGUGCGAUUGGAUUGCACGUCUAAGCAGUAAGGCUGAGUAUUAGGCAAAUCCGGUACUCGUUAAGGCUGAGCUGUGAUGGGGAGAAGACAUUGAGUCUUCGAGUCGUUGAUUUCACACUGCCGAGAAAAGCCUCUAGAUAGAAAAUAGGUGCCCGUACCGCAAACCGACACAGGUAGUCAAGAUGAGAAUUCUAAGGUGAGCGAGCGAACUCUCGUUAAGGAACUCGGCAAAAUGACCCCGUAACUUCGGGAGAAGGGGUGCUCUUUAGGGUUAACGCCCAGAAGAGCCGCAGUGAAUAGGCCCAAGCGACUGUUUAUCAAAAACACAGGUCUCUGCUAAACCGUAAGGUGAUGUAUAGGGGCUGACGCCUGCCCGGUGCUGGAAGGUUAAGAGGAGUGGUUAGCUUCUGCGAAGCUACGAAUCGAAGCCCCAGUAAACGGCGGCCGUAACUAUAACGGUCCUAAGGUAGCGAAAUUCCUUGUCGGGUAAGUUCCGACCCGCACGAAAGGCGUAACGAUUUGGGCACUGUCUCAACGAGAGACUCGGUGAAAUCAUAGUACCUGUGAAGAUGCAGGUUACCCGCGACAGGACGGAAAGACCCCGUGGAGCUUUACUGUAGCCUGAUAUUGAAAUUCGGCACAGCUUGUACAGGAUAGGUAGGAGCCUUUGAAACGUGAGCGCUAGCUUACGUGGAGGCGCUGGUGGGAUACUACCCUAGCUGUGUUGGCUUUCUAACCCGCACCACUUAUCGUGGUGGGAGACAGUGUCAGGCGGGCAGUUUGACUGGGGCGGUCGCCUCCUAAAAGGUAACGGAGGCGCUCAAAGGUUCCCUCAGAAUGGUUGGAAAUCAUUCAUAGAGUGUAAAGGCAUAAGGGAGCUUGACUGCGAGACCUACAAGUCGAGCAGGGUCGAAAGACGGACUUAGUGAUCCGGUGGUUCCGCAUGGAAGGGCCAUCGCUCAACGGAUAAAAGCUACCCCGGGGAUAACAGGCUUAUCUCCCCCAAGAGUUCACAUCGACGGGGAGGUUUGGCACCUCGAUGUCGGCUCAUCGCAUCCUGGGGCUGUAGUCGGUCCCAAGGGUUGGGCUGUUCGCCCAUUAAAGCGGUACGCGAGCUGGGUUCAGAACGUCGUGAGACAGUUCGGUCCCUAUCCGUCGUGGGCGUAGGAAAUUUGAGAGGAGCUGUCCUUAGUACGAGAGGACCGGGAUGGACAUACCUCUGGUGUACCAGUUGUCGUGCCAACGGCAUAGCUGGGUAGCUAUGUGUGGACGGGAUAAGUGCUGAAAGCAUCUAAGCAUGAAGCCCCCCUCAAGAUGAGAUUUCCCAACUUCGGUUAUAAGAUCCCUCAAAGAUGAUGAGGUUAAUAGGUUCGAGGUGGAAGCAUGGUGACAUGUGGAGCUGACGAAUACUAAUCGAUCGAAGACUUAAUCAA
RNAcentral lists this ribosomal RNA (2921 nucleotides) under Staphylococcus aureus DAR3176. Its description in RNAcentral is "bacterial LSU rRNA". It matches the Rfam family "Bacterial large subunit ribosomal RNA". The record is from RNAcentral. Lineage: Bacteria; Bacillati; Bacillota; Bacilli; Caryophanales; Staphylococcaceae.